GUGGGUAGUUUGACUGGGGCGGUCUCCUCCUAAAGAGUAACGGAGGAGCACGAAGGUUGGCUAAUCCUGGUCGGACAUCAGGAGGUUAGUGCAAUGGCAUAAGCCAGCUUGACUGCGAGCGUGACGGCGCGAGCAGGUGCGAAAGCAGGUCAUAGUGAUCCGGUGGUUCUGAAUGGAAGGGCCAUCGCUCAACGGAUAAAAGGUACUCCGGGGAUAACAGGCUGAUACCGCCCAAGAGUUCAUAUCGACGGCGGUGUUUGGCACCUCGAUGUCGGCUCAUCACAUCCUGGGGCUGAAGUAGGUCCCAAGGGUAUGGCUGUUCGCCAUUUAAAGUGGUACGCGAGCUGGGUUUAGAACGUCGUGAGACAGUUCGGUCCCUAUCUGCCGUGGGCGCUGGAGAACUGAGGGGGGCUGCUCCUAGUACGAGAGGACCGGAGUGGACGCAUCACUGGUGUUCGGGUUGUCAUGCCAAUGGCACUGCCCGGUAGCUAAAUGCGGAAGAGAUAAGUGCUGAAAGCAUCUAAGCACGAAACUUGCCCCGAGAUGAGUUCUCCCUGAGACUUAGAGUCUCCUGAAGGAACGUUGAAGACGACGACGUUGAUAGGCCGGGUGUGUAA
Molecule: ribosomal RNA, 617 nt
Filed under: Salmonella enterica subsp. enterica serovar Typhimurium
Lineage: Bacteria; Pseudomonadati; Pseudomonadota; Gammaproteobacteria; Enterobacterales; Enterobacteriaceae
Also listed under: 4 other names
Description: partial 23S ribosomal RNA
Rfam family: Bacterial large subunit ribosomal RNA
Source: RNAcentral